RNAcentral lists this ribosomal RNA (333 nucleotides) under uncultured bacterium. Its description in RNAcentral is "bacterial SSU rRNA". It matches the Rfam family "Bacterial small subunit ribosomal RNA", at positions 28 to 351 of the family's 1533-position model. The record is from RNAcentral.
GACGAACGCUGGCGGCGUGCCUAAUACAUGCAAGUCGAGCGGAUCUCGAGGGGCUUGCCCCUUGAGAUUAGCGGCGGACGGGUGAGUAACACGUGGGCAACCUGCCUGUAAGACUGGGAUAACUUCGGGAAACCGAGGCUAAUACCGGAUGAUUCUUUUCCUCACAUGAGAAAAAGCUAAAAGACGGCGUAAGCUGUCACUUACAGAUGGGCCCGCGGCGCAUUAGCUAGUUGGUGAGGUAACGGCUCACCAAGGCGACGAUGCGUAGCCGACCUGAGAGGGUGAUCGGCCACAUUGGGACUGAGACACGGCCCAAACACCUACGGGUGGCAG